UACGUAGGGUGCGAGCGUUAAUCGGAAUUACUGGGCGUAAAGCGUGCGCAGGCGGUUCGUUGUGUCGGUGGUGAAAUCCCCGGGCUUAACCUGGGAAUGGCCAUGGAUACUGGGCAGCUAGAGUGUGUCAGAGGAUGGUGGAAUUCCCGGUGUAGCGGUGAAAUGCGUAGAGAUCGGGAGGAACAUCAGUGGCGAAGGCGGCCAUCUGGGACAACACUGACGCUGAAGCACGAAAGCGUGGGGAGCAAACAGG
This 253-nucleotide ribosomal RNA is filed under the name uncultured bacterium. RNAcentral describes it as "partial 16S ribosomal RNA". It matches the Rfam family "Bacterial small subunit ribosomal RNA", at positions 524 to 776 of the family's 1533-position model. The record is from RNAcentral.